Molecule: long non-coding RNA, 812 nt
Organism: Diabrotica virgifera virgifera (western corn rootworm)
Lineage: Eukaryota; Metazoa; Arthropoda; Insecta; Coleoptera; Chrysomelidae
Exons: 2
Source: RefSeq, a predicted model, not a curated record
AAGUUUUACCAGCAGGUUUUACGUUUUUGCUCUUUGCGCAGAAAUUGGCGCAGUUAUUGUACAAGAAUCUGUGCCUGACACAAAUUCUUGUAUCUGUGUAUGACACUAUACAUUUUUUUGACAUAUCAGAAACGAUAUUAGAAAUGAUACAAGAAAAUGCAUAGUGUCAUACAGCCUUUACAGUUUUGCCUCCCAAACGUCAAAAUCAUGGAAUGCCCUAUUCGUUGAUAUGAUAUGUCAUAAUCGUCAAUCACGCACGCACAUAAGGCACAUGCACAUUUACGUCAUUUCCCUUUUUGGAUGUCAAAAUUGCCAGAUCUAAAUACAUUAUUGGGAUAAACCGUAAUCCUACCCCUUCCUAACUGCCAAAGUGUCAUGGCCGCCGUCGGGACCUAUUGUGCUGACAUUUACAAUGUUUACAUAUAGAAAAGUUUGUUUUUUUCUGCUUAUAAUGCCGUUUUCUAAAGAUAUUAGUGAACAAAAUCGAUUUGCUAACAAUAUUUAAUAUAUUUUAAAUGUGCUAAAAUUGGAUUCAACAGCAAAAGUCGCAUAAAUAACAUAUAAAUGACGAAUUUGUUUACCUAUUACAAAUGGGGUUAUGUGGUUGUAACUGUUUAUUUUGGGAAUAAAAUGAAAAUGAUCAAUUAAACGACUGGAAAACUAUAGUGAAGUGAAGAACAUCUUGAAGUUCCAAUGAUGUUUCAAGAUGAGAUAAAUCGAAAUAAUGGUUGUAUGUUAGAAGGACAGAGAAUACGAAGAAAUGUUAUUGCUGCAUACUUAGUGUAGUGAAAUACAAACUUCAAACAUUAUAA